Molecule: non-coding RNA, 27 nt
Filed under: Homo sapiens (human)
Lineage: Eukaryota; Metazoa; Chordata; Mammalia; Primates; Hominidae
Source: RNAcentral
UAGGGAGAUUUGUCUAUGAGGUGGAAU